This 495-nucleotide ribosomal RNA is filed under the name uncultured bacterium. RNAcentral describes it as "partial 16S ribosomal RNA". It matches the Rfam family "Bacterial small subunit ribosomal RNA", at positions 28 to 507 of the family's 1533-position model. The record is from RNAcentral.
GACGAACGCUGGCGGCGUGCCUAACACAUGCAAGUCGAACGCUGAAGGAGGAGCUUGCUCUUCUGGAUGAGUUGCGAACGGGUGAGUAACGCGUAGGUAGCCUGCCUGGUAGCGGGGGAUAAGCGUUGGAAACGACAUCUAAUACCGCAUAAGAGUAGAUGCUGCAUGACAUUUACCUAGAAGGUGAUAUUGUAUGACUACCAGACGGCGCUGAGUUGUAUUGGCUAGGUAGUGGGGUAAAGGCUCUCCAAGGCGACGAUACAUAGCCGACCUGCGAGGGUGAUCGGCCUCACUGGGACGGGGACACGGCCCAGACGCCUGCGGGAGACAGCAGUAGGACAUCGUCAGCAAUGGACGGAGGUGUGACCACGCAACGCGGCGUGAGUGAGUAAUGACGCCGGAUCGUGGAGGUCUGUUGUAAGAUAGGAACGAUUUUUGAGGUGGAAAGUUCUCACAGUGACGGUACCUUAACAAGAAGCGACGGCUAACUACGUG